This 31-nucleotide small RNA is filed under the name Arabidopsis thaliana (thale cress). RNAcentral's name for it is "ATSL187690". Lineage: Eukaryota; Viridiplantae; Streptophyta; Magnoliopsida; Brassicales; Brassicaceae. The record is from RNAcentral.
CGCGCUUGCUCUCUCUUCUCUUUUUUGUCUU